Molecule: ribosomal RNA, 386 nt
Filed under: uncultured bacterium
Lineage: Bacteria
Description: bacterial SSU rRNA
Rfam family: Bacterial small subunit ribosomal RNA
Source: RNAcentral
GUCAGGUGGCGGACGGGUGAGUAACGCGUAGGAAUCUAUCCUUGAAGUGGGGGACAACCGUAGGAAACUACGGCUAAUACCGCAUGAUGCCUGAGGGACCAAAGACGAAAGUCGUUGAGGAGGAGCCUGCGUCUGAUUAGGUAGUUGGUAGGGGUAAAGGCCUACCAAGCCUACGAUCAGUAGCUGGUCUGAGUGGAUGAUCAGCCACAUUGGGACUGAGACACGGCCCAAACUCCUACGGGAGGCAGCAGUGGGGAAUAUUGGACAAUGGGCGCAAGCCUGAUCCAGCAAUGCCGCGUGGGUGAAGAAGGUCUUCGGAUUGUAAAGCCCUUUUGGCGGGGACGAUGAUGACGGUACCCGCAGAAUAAGCUCCGGCUAACUUCGUG